GCUUCCUACGGGAGGCAGCAGUAGGGAAUAUUGGACAAUGGGCGAAAGCCUGAUCCAGCCAUGCCGCGUGAGUGAUGAAGGCCUUAGGGUUGUAAAGCUCUUUCAGCGGGGAAGAUAAUGACGGUACCCGCAGAAGAAGCCUCGGCUAACUCCGUGCCAGCAGCCGCGGUAAUACGGAGGAGGCUAGCGUUGUUCGGAAUUACUGGGCGUAAAGCGUGCGUAGGCGGUUUUUUAAGAUGAGUGUGAAAGCCCGGAGCUCAACUCCGGAACUGCGCUCAUGACUGGAAGACUGGAGUCCGAGAGAGGUGAGUGGAAUUCCCAGUGUAGAGGUGAAAUUCGUAGAUAUUGGGAAGAACACCAGUGGCGAAGGCGGCUCACUGGCUCGGUACUGACGCUGAUGCACAAAAGCGUGGGGAGCAAACAGGAUUAGAUACCCUGGUAGUCCACGCCGUAAACUAUGAGUGCUAGACGUUGGGGGGCUUGCCUCUCAGUGUCGAAGCUAACGCGAUAAGCACUCCGCCUGGGGAGUACGGCCGCAAGGUUAAAACUCAAAGGAAUUGACGGAAGC
This 568-nucleotide ribosomal RNA is filed under the name uncultured bacterium. Its description in RNAcentral is "bacterial SSU rRNA". It matches the Rfam family "Bacterial small subunit ribosomal RNA", at positions 334 to 920 of the family's 1533-position model. The record is from RNAcentral.